AGUCCAAUUCUCAAUCAUCGGGAAGGUCCUUAACAAAGCUACAGACUUACUAGCAGAACAUGGACUGCCUGGUGCCUUUCGAAGAUAAACUUCCUGCUGCGGCUUUGCAAAGGUUCACAAGCUGCCACCCCUAUGAAGUGCACUUCCACAAGCAAAUCCCAAGGUCUUUUGCAAGGAGGGACGUUCCCACCUCCUGUGCCAGAAUCUGUUGAAGAAACGUGAGUCUCCUGCAGUAUUAAUGCAUGCAUAUGCCAGCUUUUUCACAUUUGUUUCUGCUCAGCAAAUGUGUGAUGAAGACAGAUGUGCCAGGAAUAAUUAUGGGACUACUGACAUGAAUAAGAAAGUGUGACAGUCCAAAAGACAAACAUACUAAGCAGAAAGAAAUAUGUUAUAACUAAAGCCGAAGACAACAGAUUGAAGUAGAAUACGACAAUGACUUCCCGAUGGGGGAGCUACACAAAACUUCACAUUGUAUUGACAUUUGUACAUCCGAAAGCAGUGAUUAACACACACCAACACAAAAAUGUACUAAUAUGCAGAAAUUCAGGACUCAUGGAUUGUGUCUAUGCUAGGUUAAAUCAGGCUGAAGAUUAAUGAAAAAUUUAUUCAUCCUGAAUUCUGA
Hyaena hyaena (striped hyena) is the source of this 622-nucleotide long non-coding RNA. RefSeq lists it as uncharacterized. The transcript has 3 exons. Lineage: Eukaryota; Metazoa; Chordata; Mammalia; Carnivora; Hyaenidae. The record is from RefSeq and is a predicted model, not a curated record.